This 530-nucleotide ribosomal RNA is filed under the name uncultured bacterium. RNAcentral's name for it is "partial 16S ribosomal RNA". It matches the Rfam family "Bacterial small subunit ribosomal RNA", at positions 355 to 874 of the family's 1533-position model. The record is from RNAcentral.
UGGGGAAUUUUGGACAAUGGGCGAAAGCCUGAUCCAGCAAUGCCGCGUGUGUGAAGAAGGCCUUCGGGUUGUAAAGCACUUUUUGUCCGGAAAGAAAUCCUUGGCUCUAAUACAGUCGGGGGAUGACGGUACCGGAAGAAUAAGCACCGGCUAACUACGUGCCAGCAGCCGCGGUAAUACGUAGGGUGCAAGCGUUAAUCGGAAUUACUGGGCGUAAAGCGUGCGCAGGCGGUUUGCUAAGACCGAUGUGAAAUCCCCGGGCUCAACCUGGGAACUGCAUUGGUGACUGGCAGGCUAGAGUAUGGCAGAGGGGGGUUAGAAUUCCACGUGUAGCAGUGAAAUGCGUAGAGAUGUGGAGGAAUACCGAUGGCGAAGGCAGCCCCCUGGGCCAAUACUGACGCUCAUGCACGAAAGCGUGGGGAGCAAACAGGAUUAGAUACCCUGGUAGUCCACGCCCUAAACGAUGUCAACUAGUUGUUGGGGACUUCAUUUUCCUUAGUAACGUAGCUAACGCGUGAAGUUGACCGCCU